RNAcentral lists this unclassified non-coding RNA (343 nucleotides) under soil metagenome. RNAcentral describes it as "partial contains 5.8S ribosomal RNA, internal transcribed spacer 2, and large subunit ribosomal RNA". The stretch from base 1 to 120 matches the Rfam family "5.8S ribosomal RNA", at positions 35 to 154 of the family's 154-position model. The record is from RNAcentral.
GAUGAAGAACGUAGCGAAAUGCGAUAAGUAAUGUGAAUUGCCGAAUUCAGUGAAUCAUCGAAUCUUUGAACGCACAUUGCGCCCGCCAGCAUUCUGGCGGGCAUGCCUGUUCGAGCGUCAUUUCAACCCUCGAGCCCCCCCGGGGGCCUCGGUGUUGGGGGACGGCACACCAGCCGCCCCCGAAAUGCAGUGGCGACCCCGCCGCAGCCUCCCCUGCGUAGUAGCACACACCUCGCACCGGAGCGCGGAGGCGGUCACGCCGUAAAACGCCCAACUUUCUUAGAGUUGACCUCGGAUCAGGUAGGAAUACCCGCUGAACUUAAGCAUAUCAAUAAGCGGAGGA